GAAGUGACUCUCCAGGGGAGCUAAAAUCCAUGUAUUUGGGCACACACUUGAACAAUAUUGCUAGAGAAAUUUAAGCAAGAACACAAAGGUUAAUGACAUCUCUUGUGGGGAUCACCGUAAGAAUAAAACAAGGCACUACGUUGUCUGGGAUGAUGGAAAGAGCUAAAGUCUUCAGUGAAUGAAGGAGCAGGGCCAGGAGCUCAAAAUACUUCUUUGAAGACAAAGAAGAAAUGAUAUUACCAAAUGGUUGGCUCAAAAGAACAGGGAUUUUGCAACAGAGAGAGUAUGUCAUGGUCUUGAACAAGCAAUGUUUUGCCAGGACGAUUAAAUAUCAUUGAUGCUUCUGGUCUACAAUUAGUCAGAGAAGAGAUAAAAAAAAUGAUGAGUAUUCAAGAAGGAAAGUGUUUGCUUUAACAUAUGAAGAAAAGGAGCUUCAAAGUGGUGAUUAACCCCAGAAUUGUGUGGAACGGAUAUGGAAACAAGACCACAGGAGCAUCGAGAACUGAGCAGAACUGAAGGUGACAUGAAAAUCAGCUGCAAGAUUCACCUCAGGGUGAUAAUGGGCUGCAGGUGGCUGCAGGAAUCCCGGGACAUUCUAGGCACUGCCAUAUUUUCUUAGGGGCCAGUAAGGAUGGCUAUCAUCAGAUGUACCUGAUGAUACAAACAUGGGCUGUCUUGCCUUCUAGUAUUCAUUCUUGGUGAUUGCAUCCAGAGCUCACUUUGGAGGUGCAGAUCAACUCUUCUUCAGGCUCAUCCAUGCGACUUGAGCAGGCUCUCAU
RNAcentral lists this long non-coding RNA (779 nucleotides) under Pan troglodytes (chimpanzee). Its description in RNAcentral is "lincRNA". The record is from RNAcentral. Lineage: Eukaryota; Metazoa; Chordata; Mammalia; Primates; Hominidae.